This 520-nucleotide ribosomal RNA is filed under the name Leptoxis ampla. RNAcentral's name for it is "partial 16S ribosomal RNA". It matches the Rfam family "Bacterial large subunit ribosomal RNA", at positions 1811 to 2605 of the family's 2925-position model. The record is from RNAcentral. Lineage: Eukaryota; Metazoa; Mollusca; Gastropoda; Pleuroceridae.
AAACAUGGCUCUUUGAAUUAUUUUUAUAAAGAGUCAGGCCUGCCCAGUGAAAUUUACUUUAACGGCCGCGGUACUCUGACCGUGCAAAGGUAGCAUAAUCAUUUGCCUUAUAAUUGAAGGCUAGUAUGAAUGGUUUAACGAGAGCAGCACUGUCUCUUUUUUAUUUUCAAGAACUUAACCUUUAGGUGAAGAGGCCUAAAUUUUAUUGAAGGACAAGAAGACCCUGUCGAGCUUAAAAGACACUAUAGAAGUUUAUAUAUACCUAAAUAAAUUUCCUGUUAAGCUUUUUAGUUGGGGCGACUAAGGAACAAAAAAAGCUUCUUAAGUAAAACAAACAUUCAAGUUUUGAUCCGGUGAUAGCCGAUUUAAGGAAUUAGUUACCGCAGGGAUAACAGCAUAAUCUCUCUUGAGAGACCUAAUCGAAAGAGGGGGUUGUGACCUCGAUGUUGGACUAGAAUAUCCUAAAGAUGCAGAAGUCUUUAAGGGUCGGUCUGUUCGACCGUUAAAAUUUUACGUGAUC